RNAcentral lists this ribosomal RNA (500 nucleotides) under uncultured bacterium. RNAcentral's name for it is "partial 16S ribosomal RNA". It matches the Rfam family "Bacterial small subunit ribosomal RNA", at positions 30 to 523 of the family's 1533-position model. The record is from RNAcentral.
AUUGAACGCUGGCGGCAUGCCUUACACAUGCAAGUCGAACGGCAGCACGGGAGCAAUCCUGGUGGCGAGUGGCGAACGGGUGAGUAAAGUAUCGGAACGUGCCCAGUCGUGGGGGAUAACGUAGCGAAAGUUACGCUAAUACCGCAUACGAUCUAUGAAUGAGAGCGGGGGAUCGCAAGACCUCGCGCGAUUGGAGCGGCCGAUAUCAGAGUAGGUAGUUGGUGGGGUAAAGGCUCACCAAGCCGACGAUCUGUAGCUGGUCUGAGAGGACGACCAGCCACACUGGGACUGAGACACGGCCCAGACUCCUACGGGAGGCAGCAGUGGGGAAUUUUGGACAAUGGGCGAAAGCCUGAUCCAGCCAUGCCGCGUGCAGGAUGAAGGCCUUCGGGUUGUAAACUGCUUUUGUACGGAACGAAAAGGUUUGGGCUAAUAAGCUGAGCUCAUGACGGUACCGUAAGAAUAAGCACCGGCUAACUACGUGCCAGCAGCCGCAGUAA